This 253-nucleotide ribosomal RNA is filed under the name uncultured bacterium. RNAcentral's name for it is "partial 16S ribosomal RNA". It matches the Rfam family "Bacterial small subunit ribosomal RNA", at positions 524 to 776 of the family's 1533-position model. The record is from RNAcentral.
UACGGGGGGGGUAAGCGUUGUUCGGAAUUACUGGGCGUAAAGGGCUCGUAGGCGGCCAACUAAGUCAGACGUGAAAUCCCUCAGCUUAACUGGGGAACUGCGUCUGAUACUGGAUGGCUUGGAUUCGGGAGAGGAAUGCGGAAUUCCAGGUGUAGCGGUGAAAUGCGCAGAUAUCAGGAGGAACACCAAUGGCGAAGGCAGCACUCUGGGACGUGACUGACGCUGAGACGCGAAAGCGUGGGGAGCAAACAGG